ACUCUCUGGUCUGUAACUGACGCUGAGGAGCGAAAGCGUGGGGAGCGAACAGGAUUAGAUACCCUGGUAGUCCACGCCGUAAACGAUGAGUGCUAAGUGUUAGGGGGUUUCCGCCCCUUAGUGCUGCAGCUAACGCAUUAAGCACUCCGCCUGGGGAGUACGGUCGCAAGACUGAAACUCAAAGGAAUUGACGGGGGCCCGCACAAGCGGUGGAGCAUGUGGUUUAAUUCGAAGCAACGCGAAGAACCUUACCAGGUCUUGACAUCCUCUGACAAUCCUAGAGAUAGGACGUCCCCUUCGGGGGCAGAGUGACAGGUGGUGCAUGGUUGUCGUCAGCUCGUGUCGUGAGAUGUUGGGUUAAGUCCCGCAACGAGCGCAACCCUUGAUCUUAGUUGCCAGCAUUCAGUUGGGCACUCUAAGGUGACUGCCGGUGACAAACCGGAGGAAGGUGGGGAUGACGUCAAAUCAUCAUGCCCCUUAUGACCUGGGCUACACACGUGCUACAAUGG
This 509-nucleotide ribosomal RNA is filed under the name Bacillus velezensis. RNAcentral's name for it is "bacterial SSU rRNA". It matches the Rfam family "Bacterial small subunit ribosomal RNA", at positions 724 to 1233 of the family's 1533-position model. The record is from RNAcentral. Lineage: Bacteria; Bacillati; Bacillota; Bacilli; Caryophanales; Bacillaceae.